CCUACGGGGGGCAGCAGUGGGGAAUAUUGGACAAUGGGGGGAACCCUGAUCCAGCCAUGCCGCGUGUGUGAAGAAGGCCCUCGGGUUGUAAAGCACUUUCAGUGAGGAAGAACGCCUGGUGGUUAAUACCCAUCAGGAAAGACAUCACUCACAGAAGAAGCACGGCUAACUCCGUGCCAGCAGCCGCGGUAAUACGGAGGGUGCGAGCGUUAAUCGGAAUUACUGGGCGUAAAGCGCGCGUAGGUGGCUUGAUAAGCCGGUUGUGAAAGCCCCGGGCUCAACCUGGGAACGGCAUCCGGAACUGUCAAGCUAGAGUGCAGGAGAGGAAGGUAGAAUUCCCGGUGUAGCGGUGAAAUGCGUAGAGAUCGGGAGGAAUACCAGUGGCGAAGGCGGCCUUCUGGACUGACACUGACACUGAGGUGCGAAAGCGUGGGUAGCAAACAGGAUUAGAUACCCUAGUAGUC
This 464-nucleotide ribosomal RNA is filed under the name Vreelandella stevensii. RNAcentral describes it as "partial 16S ribosomal RNA". It matches the Rfam family "Bacterial small subunit ribosomal RNA", at positions 338 to 795 of the family's 1533-position model. The record is from RNAcentral. Lineage: Bacteria; Pseudomonadati; Pseudomonadota; Gammaproteobacteria; Oceanospirillales; Halomonadaceae.